GGUAGCUUAGUGGUAGAGUGCUUGCCUAGCAUGCAUGAAGCCCUGGGUUCAAUUCCUCAGUACCA
RNAcentral lists this transfer RNA (65 nucleotides) under Dipodomys ordii (Ord's kangaroo rat). It matches the Rfam family "tRNA". From Rfam's summary of the family: Transfer RNA (tRNA) molecules are approximately 80 nucleotides in length. Their secondary structure includes four short double-helical elements and three loops (D, anti-codon, and T loops). Further hydrogen bonds mediate the characteristic L-shaped molecular structure. tRNAs have two regions of fundamental functional importance: the anti-codon, which is responsible for specific mRNA codon recognition, and the 3' end, to which the tRNAs corresponding amino acid is attached (by aminoacyl-tRNA synthetases). tRNAs cope with the degeneracy of the genetic code in two manners: having more than one tRNA (with a specific anti-codon) for a particular amino acid; and 'wobble' base-pairing, i.e. permitting non-standard base-pairing at the 3rd anti-codon position. Lineage: Eukaryota; Metazoa; Chordata; Mammalia; Rodentia; Heteromyidae. The record is from Rfam by way of RNAcentral.